Long non-coding RNA from Morone saxatilis (striped sea-bass), 248 nucleotides. RefSeq lists it as uncharacterized. The transcript has 3 exons. The record is from RefSeq and is a predicted model, not a curated record. NCBI's taxonomy places the organism in Eukaryota, Metazoa, Chordata, Actinopteri, Moronidae.
AAUGACGCUCUGCGGAUAUAAAAAGCAUGAAGGUAAAGGAGAGUACAGGACACGAGCGGUUCAGUUAGUUUUGCGCAAUAGAUGCAGAGAUGAAUCGGUUUGUUUUCCUCCUGGCUGCUGGUCUUUACCUGUUCCUGCAAUGUCAGGUGGAUGCUGAAUCACGUUUGAGCCGGAGUGUCAUUGAAAGGGCCGUGAGCGCAGCAAAGGCUAAUGUGGACUCUGCUUAUACAUACUCCAGGCGAGAGUGA